Long non-coding RNA from Dendronephthya gigantea, 807 nucleotides. RefSeq lists it as uncharacterized. The record is from RefSeq and is a predicted model, not a curated record. The transcript is spliced from 3 exons. NCBI's taxonomy places the organism in Eukaryota, Metazoa, Cnidaria, Anthozoa, Malacalcyonacea, Nephtheidae.
UGAUGAUUAACGAUGAGAAAUCUUACAUCAAUGUAAAGCAACUAAAGGAUGGAAAGCUUUGUUUAUCGAUCAACCCAGCUGAGGUUGAGCUCAUGGAUGAGAAAAAAGAUGAUGUAAAAUGAUGUCCGCUUGAAGAAACCGUUUCUAUCAAAUAUGGCUCAGAAUUAUGAGAAUAAUGAAGUUGUUCUCACGGUUUUUCUAUAUUUUUUUUAUAUCUAACAACGAUCCCAUAGGCUUAGCUUUUUGGUAAUCACUCGAAAUUGAGUGAGAACUCAAAAUCGUAAUCACGUUAUGAAUUGUUAUUCUCUAAAGAUAUUUUAUCCGUGCUGUAAUAUUAGAUUUAGCAUUUUAACAAGAUCAAACAGCGAGUGAAUAACUAGAUCAGUAGGUGUGAUUUAUUUAUCUUCCCUGUCUAUGGCCUUAGCAAAGUGUCUCAAAGAAAAAAAAAAGAAGAUCAACUGUCAACCAACAACAAACAAACACAACUGAGCAUGAGUUUGACAAACAUGAAGUUGCAAAGGAAGAACAAGUGUGGAUGUUUUACAAGUCCAAUGUGGACAGAAGUCACUUUAUUUUUUUUUUAUCUCGUAAUGCCAGUCCAUUACGGGAAAGUGCCGGUCCAUUACGGAAAAGUGCCGCUCCAUUACGGGAAAGUGCCAGUCCAUUACGGGAAAGUGCCGGUCCACUACGGAAAAGUGCCAGUCCAUUACGGGAAAGUGCCAGUCCAGUACGGGAAAGUGCCGGUCCACUACGGAAAAGUGCCAGUCCAUUACGGGAAAGUACCGGUUCCACUGAGCUAUAUAAUAA